CCCCAGACGACCGAACCAUCAACCAUCAACCUUCAACCAUCUCCUCUGCAACCUGAAAGAAUCAGCAUCACCAACAGCUAAGAACUAGAAGAGCUCCACCAUCACCAGUCCCCUCUCGAGCUCUCAUGGUGGUCGUCCAGGCCUCCAAGCUGACCAUCCCCGACCUCUCCCUCUCCCACUCCCCGGCCAUCGCCGCCGUCCUCUACGACCCCCACUCCCUCUCCCUCGCCCUCAUGCACUCCGACUCCUCCUUCUCCCUCUACCCCCGCCUCUCCCCUCUCUCCCUCCCCUCCUCCUCCUCCCUCCCCCCGCCCCAGGCCCUCGUCCCCCCUCCUUCCUCCUCCUCCGCCUUCCUCCUCCUCCGGCAGCGGGAGGACGGCGCCGGCGGCGACUCGCGGUCGCGGGUCGUCUUCCUCGUCUCCGGCCCGCACCGGGGCGGGUCCCAGAUCCUGCUCCGCUUCUACGCCCUCCGGGGCGGCGGCGGCGGCAAGUUCGCCAGGGCCCGAGUGGUUUGCAAGCAGAAAGGCCUCAGCUUUGACCCCGGCUCGGGGGUCGUGUUCGAUAACCGUCAUGGGGUUUCGAUUAAGGUUUCUGGGUCGACCAAUUUCUUCGCCAUGUACUCGAUUUCGAGCGGCAAGGUAUGGGUUUUCGCGGUCAAGGCCUUGGGAGAUGGGGGUAGUGGUGGUGGGGGUGAUGAUUGGGGGGCUUUGGAGUUGAUGAGGUGUGCGGUGAUUGAGUGUUGCAGGCCGGUGUGGUCCAUUAGUUUUUCUUUCGGGUUGUUGGUUUUGGGGGAGGAGAAUGGGGUUCGGGUUUUCAAUUUGAUGGCUCUUGUUAAGGGAGGAAGCAAGAGGGUCAGGAAUUCGAAUUCGAAUGGGAAGCUCGGUAAUCAGCGGUUGCCUAAUGGAGUGACUGCCAGUGGGAUUGCGGGAAAUUUGGAGAAUGCUCGCAAUGUUAGUUUGGAAGGGAAGAAUGAUAAGCACCCUGCAUCUGUGAAACAGUCAACAGUCAAGUUAAAGCAAGAAGCCAAUGAUGGGGGUUCUUGUUUUGUGACAUUGAAGAGCAAGGAUGGUGUAGACUCAACUUCUAUGUCCACACCAGUGAUGUCACUUAAAGCGCUUUACAUCCAACCUUUGUCCCCAAGAUCCUUCAUUGUUUUGGAUUCAGUUGGAGAUUUACACCUUGUAUGCCUGCCGAAGUCCAAGGCACCCACUGCUUCUGAUGUUAAUUUCCAUUUGAAGCAUAUGCCUCAUGUCAUGAAAGUGCACCACUUGACUGCUUUUCCUGAUAUUACAAUGAGUUCAGGAACUAUUUGGAUAGAUGAUGGAUCUAAUACUGUGCACAUGAUGGUUGGAUUUGACAUGGAGGCUAAUGAUGCAAAUGAUGGAAAUCAGAGUCAUGAAAGGCUGAUGCAGAUUUCAGUUGUCCAAGCAAUUUUUACGAGUGAAAAGAUUCAAAGUGUCAUUUCCCUGGCAUCAAAUGCUAUUUUGAUUCUUGGACAAGGAAGCCUGUAUGCAUAUGCCAUUUCCUAAGUCGCUCAUGAGUAAUUUUUACCUGGUCCCUGGCUAUGUGCAUGUUUUAAGGUUCUGAAUGGUUCCUGAACUGAUGUUUAGAAUUUGGUCAUGGUCCUAUUUCUGCUGUUUGCUGGGCGUAGAUGUCUGGUUGUCAAAAUUGGGAGCUGCAGCAUUCUCAUGCAUCUAUAUAUUUUAAGGACCUUGAGAAGACUGAGCUCUUAGAGGUACUUUUAUCGCUACCACUUUCCUUUGUGAAAGUACAGGUGCAUGGACCGGUUAAUUGCCCAUAAAGGAUUUCGAAAUUUGGAUCUCUGAUGAUUGAAAGCAUCAAAGUGGCAUGCCAUGCUUCUGUGUGCUCCUGGCUGCAGAAUCUACCGCUUUGCUGUUCAUGUUUAUGGGCACUUGCAGAGGUUGCACUUCCAUCUCUUCACCUCGGAGGUUGCGCUUGCAGAGUCUAUAUGCUUGUCCAUCAGAUGAAAGGUGUGCGAUCGAUGUGAGGUCAGAUAGACUAGAGGUCCCUUUAGUCGCUAUUAUGUCAAAAACAGGAUGAGGGUCCAAUGCAUAUAUUCCGCCUUCUGUACGCAGAGGCUUUAAGGCUCGUCCGCACCGGCGUAUCUUCGACUUGGGUUGGUCUUUUCUCCUUUACAAGAAUCGCAUGCUCUUAAGUUGAAGCGGGACCAUUCUUAAGUUAUGUAAACAGGAGUCAACGCCAUUUAGUGUUUUGAGUGGUCGAUCUGAUGCUGCAUUGCUAAUUCUCUAUGUUAAUGGAAAUUGCGUUUCUACUAGUA
Molecule: RNA transcript, 2299 nt
Organism: Syzygium oleosum
Lineage: Eukaryota; Viridiplantae; Streptophyta; Magnoliopsida; Myrtales; Myrtaceae
Exons: 8
Source: RefSeq, a predicted model, not a curated record